RNAcentral lists this ribosomal RNA (301 nucleotides) under uncultured bacterium. Its description in RNAcentral is "partial 16S ribosomal RNA". It matches the Rfam family "Bacterial small subunit ribosomal RNA", at positions 509 to 808 of the family's 1533-position model. The record is from RNAcentral.
CAGUCGCCGCGGUAAGACGAACCGUCCGAACGUUAUUCGGAAUUACUGGGCUUAAAGCGCGUGUAGGCGGGUCGACACGUCCGACGCUGAAAUCCCCCGGCUCAACCGGGGAACUGGCCCGGAUACGAUCGGUCUGGAGGAAGGCAGGGGGGUCUGGAACUUCCGGUGGAGCGGUGAAAUGCGUUGAGAUCGGAAAGAACACCAACGGCGAAAGCACUCUGCUGGGCCGACACUGACACUGAGAGACGAAAGCUAGGGGAGCAAAUGGGACUAGAUACCCCAGUAGUCCCUGUCUCUUAUA